GAAUUGACGGGGGCCCGCACAAGCGGCGGAGCAUGUGGAUUAAUUCGAUGCAACGCGAAGAACCUUACCUGGGUUUGACAUACACCAGACGCGGCUAGAGAUAGUCGUUCCCUUGUGGUUGGUGUACAGGUGGUGCAUGGCUGUCGUCAGCUCGUGUCGUGAGAUGUUGGGUUAAGUCCCGCAACGAGCGCAACCCUUGUCCUGUAUUGCCAGCGGGUUAUGCCGGGGACUUGCAGGAGACUGCCGGGGUCAACUCGGAGGAAGGUGGGGAUGACGUCAAGUCAUCAUGCCCCUUAUGUCCAGGGCUUCACACAUGCUACAAUGGCCGGUACAGAGGGCUGCGAUACCGUGAGGUGGAGCGAAUCCCUUAAAGCCGGUCUCAGUUCGGAUCGGGGUCUGCAACUCGACCCCGUGAAGUCGGAGUCGCUAGUAAUCGCAGAUCAGCAACGCUGCGGUAAUACGUUCCCGGGC
RNAcentral lists this ribosomal RNA (471 nucleotides) under Gordonia bronchialis. RNAcentral describes it as "bacterial SSU rRNA". It matches the Rfam family "Bacterial small subunit ribosomal RNA", at positions 907 to 1379 of the family's 1533-position model. The record is from RNAcentral. Lineage: Bacteria; Bacillati; Actinomycetota; Actinomycetes; Mycobacteriales; Gordoniaceae.